UGGGGAAUUUUGCACAAUGGGGGAAACCCUGAUGCAGCGACGCCGCGUGAUUUAGAAGGCCUUCGGGUUGUAAAAAUCUUUUCUAUGGGAAGAAAAUGACAGUACCAUAGGAAUAAGGACCGGCUAAUUACGUGCCAGCAGCCGCGGUAAUACGUAAGGUCCGAGCGUUGUCCGGAAUCAUUGGGCGUAAAGGGUACGUAGGCGGGUAAGCAAGUUAGAAGUGAAAUCCUAUAGCUCAACUAUAGUAAGCUUUUAAAACUGCUCAUCUUGAGCUAUGGAAGGGAAAGUGGAAUUCCUAGUGUAGCGGUGAAAUGCGCAGAUAUUAGGAGGAAUACCGGUGGCGAAGGCGACUUUCUGGCCAUAACCUGACGCUGAGGUACGAAAGCGUGGGUAGCAAACAGG
Molecule: ribosomal RNA, 402 nt
Filed under: bacterium
Lineage: Bacteria
Description: partial 16S ribosomal RNA
Rfam family: Bacterial small subunit ribosomal RNA
Source: RNAcentral